GUUCUCGCCCCGCCCUCUCCCCGCCUCCUCCCUAGAUAUCGCGAGAGGGCGGGUCCGCUUGGCUUCGGCGUCGGCGUCGCUCCCGCCCUGGAGCUUUAGGCCGGCGUCUCUCCGCGAGCCGCGGGUCAAGUGCCGGCGGCUAAGGGUGCGCGAGUAGACGCCACCCGUUCGGCGUUGGCUCUGGCGUCCGGGUCGUUGUGUCGUGACAACCGCUCCGGUAGCCGUUUCCGAGGCAGCAGGUGCGGCCGCUUUAGCCCUGAGCGGGCUCUGUGGCUGCCUGUGAGUCUGCUGUGCCGACCCUUCUCUUCCCGGACCCCACGCCAAGCAGCGACCCUGAGCCGACAGCCGGAGCGCCCGGCAAUGGCGGCCUCGACGGCCUCGCACCGGCCCAUCAAGGGGAUCUUGAAGAACAAGACCUCUACCACUUCCUCUAUGGUGGCGUCGGCCGAACAGCCCCGCGGGAAUGUCGACGAGGAGCUGAGCAAAAAGUCCCAGAAGUGGGAUGAAAUGAACAUCUUGGCGACGUAUCAUCCGGCAGAUAAAGACUAUGGUUUAAUGAAAAUAGAUGAACCAAGCACUCCUUACCAUAGGUAAUGUUAUGUAGACAUCACUCCUCUUGGGACUUACUUCCAUUUUGCAUUUCUUAUGAACGUCUGGAUAACAGCCUAUUUGAAUUUGUUUUAUUGUAGAUUUGUUACUGGAGCACUAGUGAAGUCAGUAGCCUGACUGCAGUUUGUUUAGUAACGGUUUAAGUGAUGUGUAAGUUUAAAAUUAUGAAAGCCGUUUUGCACAUUAUAAUGACAGUAGUAAAUGUUUAUUUGUUGCACCUCAGUGGUUGCUGGCUACUAAUGGUGUGUAUAUUAGUUUUAACUUCCGUGAAAGGAAGAUGAGAUAUGGGCUUGUUUCCUUCCCAAGUAGAAAUCUGGGGUUUACUCAGUCUCUUUGCAGAGAAGCAUAACUGUAUGGAUGGUAACCCACUGAAAGAUAGGUGUCAUUAUUACUGUUUAUGUCUUUACUUUUUAACUUAAUGUAAUAUUGUUGUUCAGAUCAUUACAUGUAAUUUUUGACAAUUUCAAGUCUCAGAAUUUUCAAAAUGAAUUGUGAAAUUACAUUAUGCAGCAGUAACCAGUAUGAAGACAAAAAUAAUGCAAUAAGCAUUGUGAGAAGAUGAAGAUUCUAAAUAAGUAUAGAUACCUAAUUAAGAUAAUACCUUGGGCCAGGCGCUGUGGUCACGCCUGUAAUCCCACCACUUUGGGAGGCCAAAGUGGGCGGAUCACCUGAGGUGAGGUGUUCAAGACCAGCCUGGCCAACAUGGUGAAACCCCAUCUCUACUAAAAAAAAAAAAAAAAAUACAAAAAUUAGCCGGGCAUGGUGGCGGGCACUGUAAUCCCAGCUACUCGGGAGGCUGAGGCAGGAGAAUUGCUUGAACCCAGGAGACGGAGGUUGCAGUAAGCCAAGAUCGCACCAUUGCACUCCAGCCUGGGCGACAAGAGCAAAAUUCUGUCUCAAAAAAAAAAAAAAGAUAAUACCUUGGCUGGGCAUGGUGACUCUUGCCUGUACUUCCAGCACUUUGAGAUUACAGAGGCAGAGGUGGGAGUGUUGCUUCAGGCCAGGAGAUCAAGACCAGCCUAAGCAACAUAGACUCUUUCUCCGAAAAAAAAAA
Molecule: small RNA, 1663 nt
Filed under: Pongo abelii (Sumatran orangutan)
Lineage: Eukaryota; Metazoa; Chordata; Mammalia; Primates; Hominidae
Description: retained intron
Source: RNAcentral